UACGUAGGGAGCGAGCGUUGUCCGGAUUCAUUGGGCGUAAAGAGCGUGUAGGCGGCCAUACAGGUCAGCUGUGAAAACUCGAGGCUCAACCUCGAGACGUCGGUUGAAACCGUAUGGCUAGAGUCCGGAAGAGGAGAGUGGAAUUCCCGGUGUAGCGGUGAAAUGCGCAGAUAUCGGGAAGAACACCCGUGGCGAAGGCGGCUCUCUGGGACGGUACUGACGCUGAGACGCGAAAGCGUGGGGAGCGAACAGG
This 253-nucleotide ribosomal RNA is filed under the name uncultured bacterium. Its description in RNAcentral is "partial 16S ribosomal RNA". It matches the Rfam family "Bacterial small subunit ribosomal RNA", at positions 524 to 776 of the family's 1533-position model. The record is from RNAcentral.